This 232-nucleotide unclassified non-coding RNA is filed under the name Hevea brasiliensis (rubber tree). Lineage: Eukaryota; Viridiplantae; Streptophyta; Magnoliopsida; Malpighiales; Euphorbiaceae. The record is from RNAcentral.
GCAAAAUCGCAGCCUCAAGCUUCGUUGGUGUGCAACCCGGCAAAACAGAAGAGUGAUCUUAAGGUUCAGGAUGAGAAUUUGGCUUCUGCAAGCAAUCAAGCACAGGAGAAAGUAUUGCCAUCAAGCCUACAACAGGCUGCUGUCAUCGUAGCAUCAUCUACUGCUGAGAGCCAUCCGAUGAGUUCCCAUAAGGUGGCAGAUCGCAAUGAUAUCAAGCAAAUUUCUGGUUUGU